Gavialis gangeticus (Gharial) is the source of this 1900-nucleotide long non-coding RNA. RefSeq lists it as uncharacterized. The transcript has 2 exons. Lineage: Eukaryota; Metazoa; Chordata; Crocodylia; Gavialidae. The record is from RefSeq and is a predicted model, not a curated record.
UAUCAGCAUCCUGCGAGCACCACAUGGCCUAGUAUUAAACCUGUAUUACCAGUGCAUAUGCAAUUAUUAAACCUGUAUUACCAGUGCAUAUGAAAUACCAAGUCAUGAAAGAUCUGCUUCAGAUGCCCUUGGUACUACUUUCCCACAUGUGAGCUUGGGUAACAUGAUUUAAGUUUGGGGUUUAAGUCACUUCUGAAAAUUAAACUUGGGCUCCCAAAUUACUGUAACUUCUGCCAUUUGCUGAAGAUGAGGCUUUCACCCUCUAGCACUCUAGGAGCCAUGUCUUAGACUGCACACCUGCACUAGUGGAUAGUGCAUUAUGUUGCUAAUUAAAUUAUCUCCAUUAUGUUGCUAAUUAAAGGCGAGAUUAUAACCAGGAGGAAGAGUGAGUCUUUCCCUUCCAUUUGUGCCCUGUUUCUCCCAGGAGCAAGUGAGGGGGCAAGAGGAAGGGCUGUGAGUUUGGCAUCCAGCUGGUGUAUAGUGGUAGAGCCAUGGUUUUACAAAGAGGAAGCAUGGCAUCCUUCCCUCCAGCAGAAAAGUGGUGCUGGAGAGGAGCUGUUUCUCAGAGGCGUGUUUCUGAGACAUAGUCCCUCCUGGAGGGGCAUAAUACAUGCUCCACCUCUUGCUCAUGGCACUGCCUGAAGGCAAAAUCUCAGGCUCUGAAGCUUGUGCUCCCUUCCUUAAAAAUAAGUCAUAGUGGAAUUUGCACUGAAGCUGAUUAAAGCGUAUUGGACUCCCAUCGUGUGGCACAUAUAUAUAUUGUCUGUCACGUGGAAUGAUACUGGCCAUUGUAACUUGAGCAAAGCCAAAGAAACUGGAAAAUCAGGGGAAAGCCCGCUGUAGAAAUUCCAAGUGGGGUUACAAACCAUCCCCGGUUUUUGCUAUAACUCUCAGAGAGCUACAGCCUGCUUGCUGGUGACAAAACAAUGAAAAAUACCAUCACAAAUAACAGGUAUAAUUUUCUUUUCACUUCUUUCCCUAUUACAGUGAGUGAUACCAUGGGCCCAAAUGCUUUUCCUGGUAUAAAUGAUAGGAAAAAUCAAACUCAACAUUAAUUUGAUGAAAUACAGUGACAGAAGACAGGAUGGGCUGAGAUCAGUCCGUGCCUGAGCAACUGCAGGGAAACUGAGUGAGAGGAACGGAUCCAUCUGAAGAUAAUCUGGGGCACCCUAGCCUGUUCAAAAGUUUCUUCUGACACCAGUUAGCACGAUAAAUUCGUCCCUCUGCUGUGACCAAGAAUCACGGUGGUUACAGUAUUUAAUGCUUUUGUAUCCCCACAACAUUGAUACUUCAAUAAUUGUUCUUCAUUUGACUUCUUGAAUCCUGAUGUAGAGAAGAUCCCAGCAUGGGUUUGCACUUGAUUUCAUCUUUGGAUCUCUCACUGUGCAAAUCUGCAGUGAGACUUGGACUUGUUCCCAUGCACCAUUUUGUUCUCAAAGAUGCCUGAGCCGAUUCCUCAGCGCUAGCCAAAACAAAUGCGAAUCUUGGCUGCCUGCGUGGUAGCAGCAGCUGGUUUGCUAUGGCUCCCUCCACCUAGCACUGGGGCAGCUUUGACUUGAACAGAUGAAGAUGCCUUCCCCCCAGGAGGAGACCAGGAAACACUGGGGAGUGGGCAAAACUGAAAUGCUUUCACAUUAUUUUGAUGGGGCUCGAUAUGCAUUUGCUGCUAGUUGCUGUUUAUCGUAUGUAUGCAGCUUGGAUCCAUCCCAGCCCUUAUCUGCUGUAUGACUUUGGGCAAGUCACAUCACCUCUUUUUCUCCUUCUGCCACAUCCAAAUAAAAUGGACAUCACAGCUGGGGCGGUGUCUUGCUAUGUGUAUGUGCAGCCUAAUGCUAGGGUCCCUCAUAUGUGUUGGGACCUGUAGGUACUGCUCCUGCAAAUAAUAAUGUACAUUAUCCUC